CAGUAGCCGCGGUAAUACGAAGGGUGCAAGCGUUACUCGGAAUUACUGGGCGUAAAGCGUGCGUAGGUGGUGGUUUAAGUCCGUUGUGAAAGCCCUGGGCUCAACCUGGGAAUUGCAGUGGAUACUGGGUCACUAGAGUGUGGUAGAGGAUAGUGGAAUUUCCGGUGUAGCAGUGAAAUGCGUAGAGAUCGGAAGGAACAUCUGUGGCGAAGGCGGCUUACUGGUCCACAACUGACGCUGAGGUGCGAAAGCGUGGGGAGCAAACAGGAUUAGAUACCCCGGUAGUCCCUGUCUCUUAUAC
This 301-nucleotide ribosomal RNA is filed under the name uncultured bacterium. RNAcentral describes it as "partial 16S ribosomal RNA". It matches the Rfam family "Bacterial small subunit ribosomal RNA", at positions 509 to 807 of the family's 1533-position model. The record is from RNAcentral.